CGGGGCUACUGCUCUGUAAUUGGCAUGGGGGCGACCUUCACCCUCGCCCGAGUACCCAUUGGAGGGCAAGUCUGGUGCCAGCAGCCGCGGUAAUUCCAGCUCCAAUAGCGUAUAUUAAACUUGUUGCAGUUAAAAAGCUCGUAGUUGAAUCUCACGCCCGCCCUAGUGUUUUCCACUACGCGGACGCCUCGUUACUUUGAGAAAAUUAGAGUGUUUCAAGCAGGUUUCGCCUGUAUAAUUGAGCAUGGAAUAACCUUGUAUGACCCUGUCGUACCGUUGGUUGACUUUGGGUAAUGGUUAAUAGGAACGGUUGGGGGCAUUCGUACUCGACUGUCAGAGGUGAAAUUCUUAGAUUUGUCGAUGACGCACGACUGCGAAAGCAUUUGCCAAGGACGCUUCCAUUAAUCAAGAAC
Molecule: ribosomal RNA, 413 nt
Filed under: Babesia bovis
Lineage: Eukaryota; Apicomplexa; Aconoidasida; Piroplasmida; Babesiidae
Description: SSU rRNA
Rfam family: Eukaryotic small subunit ribosomal RNA
Source: RNAcentral